GCUAGAUUGGCCGAAAGGUGAGGCAUCGGAUUGCAAAUCCGUUCAAUGGGGGUUCGAAUCCCUCAUCUAGCU
Molecule: non-coding RNA, 72 nt
Organism: Corchorus olitorius
Lineage: Eukaryota; Viridiplantae; Streptophyta; Magnoliopsida; Malvales; Malvaceae
Source: Rfam